AAAAUUAAAAACAGGGCGGGUUUCUCUCCCGCGACCAAACCCUCUCCUUUAUUGGCUUUUCAUUCCUAGCAACACCUCACUGCUUCACGUCUCGUGGCCUUCUCCCUUCAAGAGAGAUUCUCAAUCAAUCGAACCAGCAUUGCAGGUCCUCCUCCUUCCGCCAAGGGUUUGUAUUCUCCGUUGUUGCUAUUCCUUCCUUCUGCUGAGACGGAACUCUUCUCCAUUUCGAUUUAUUCCUUCACCGCGGCAUGAAAUCUUGAAGAAGAACGUCUGCUGUCUUUGCAGAGGAAUAGUAUGAUCUUGGAGCUCUAAAAUCGGUUGCUUCAAAGUUCCAGGAUGUUUUGCUCUCAAUUUCAUAGAAGGUGUGUAAUCGACAAGAUUUUGUAAUAAUCAGCAUUUAGUCAAGGAAGAAAUGGGAGAACCCAAGAGACCCAGAUGAAGUGCUAGUGAAACUUGGAUGCUCCUAAGAGAGGUUUUUCCAAGGCUCGUAGUACUAUUGCAGAGUAGGUCCUUCAUGGAGUACUUCAUUUUGUGUUCUGAAGUACUACAUUGUCAGGUUUAAUCAGAUGAUAAAAGAUGACCAUGUAUGAUCAAUAUGGUAAAGCUAGAGUUAAGAGUUCUACUGGGGGAUCAGCUGGAGCUAGCAUACAUGGUAUUGCAGAUCUACUUCUGCAGGCAUUAAAUCAUUCCAUAGUGUUUUUCACCCAUGGCCAUUAGAUAUUAUGGUUUUAAUAUUUUCAGUUUUAAUAGACUCAUUGUCACUGUCUUUAUUUUCUUCAUCCUCUCGCCAUUUUAUGUUUUGCAGCUACAUGAUUCUUGUCCUUUUUGGCAAAAAGUUUGAAGUCUUGAGGAGAUCAGGUCAUUAAGGAACAACAUUUUACAAAAUGAGAUUUUUCAAAAGCAGUAUGUUUGAAUGUUAACCAAGAAAACUUCUAUUAUCUUAUGCCAUAUGCAUACCUACUGAUGAUGUGAACCUUUUUAUAGGAAGUAAUCUUUAUGCAGGUAAAUAUCAUGCUGAUAAAUACUUAGGUUUCUGCAUUAGUUGGGGUCCUUCCUUGCAAUUCUGUAUUAUUCACUUUUUCUUUUUUUAGUUCAGUUAAAGUCAGUUUUAAUAUGCAAUAAUUCUUUGUACUAUUGAUAUCCCACAUCGAAUAUGGAGUAUUGCUUGGAUGGAAUGUAACAUGUUAAAGUCAGUUUAAUAUGCCUGUAUGUUUUCUUUAUGUUCUGAUUCAUUCUUCCUUUAAUAUCCCAUUUUGCAUCAUUGAGAGUCUUCAUUUUUAUGUAGGUUGCGUCAUAUGUUAUUACAAUUCCAAUGCAGCAGUUUCCCACUUCAUGGUUUUAAAUGAUUUUGUUGGCCAUGUCCAUGAUAUUAACACUAACCAGUCACUUUGUCUCUUGUGAGAAUAGGUGUUGGGCUGAUGCCAAGUCUUGGCCCAUGAACCCAGGUCUUGAUCCCAAUAAUAGGUUAUUUAGGAAGCCUCACAGAUUCUUUGGAAAGAUAGGACUGCAUCAAUGAGGAUUGAGGAAAGGUGAGGUUAUACUUUCUACAGAAUUUCAAAUGGUCAGAAUUCACUUCUUGGAGAAACAACUUGAGGUUCUCUGGUGCAGCAGUUGCAGGAAAUCCAUUUUAAACUCUUGUACCUCAAAAUUUUUUUUUUCAAAUAGUUAUUCUUUACAUUUUACGUGCACUUUUUCUUUGGGCCUAUAUAUAGCAUGCAAUGCUUUGAGAAACAGAGGUAAUAAAAAAUAAAUACUGUGUCUGCAUUGCACCAAAUAAA
Molecule: long non-coding RNA, 1778 nt
Organism: Macadamia integrifolia
Lineage: Eukaryota; Viridiplantae; Streptophyta; Magnoliopsida; Proteales; Proteaceae
Exons: 5
Source: RefSeq, a predicted model, not a curated record